This is a non-coding RNA of Plutella xylostella (diamondback moth), 249 nucleotides long. The record is from RefSeq and is a predicted model, not a curated record. NCBI's taxonomy places the organism in Eukaryota, Metazoa, Arthropoda, Insecta, Lepidoptera, Plutellidae.
AACAUCUGGACAGUAAUGACAUUGAAAUAGUCAGAGUGAAAUCGGAACAGAUGAAAAUGGAACAAGAUGCUACUCAUAGUGAAGAACAUUGUGAUGGAGAAACAUACACAUUAGCUUGCCAUGAUGGAAGGACAUAUUACAACAAAAUGGAUGACUGUUUUGAUGUCAAGGAGGAGUGUCUUGAACCAGGCCAUCACAGCACCUCGAACAGUAGUUGCAAUUUGAAUAAAAAACCUGGCCAAUCAACUA